Molecule: ribosomal RNA, 406 nt
Filed under: uncultured bacterium
Lineage: Bacteria
Description: partial 16S ribosomal RNA
Rfam family: Bacterial small subunit ribosomal RNA
Source: RNAcentral
AUUGAACGCUGGCGGCAGGCUUAACACAUGCAAGUCGAGCGAGCGGCGGACGGGUGAGUAAUGUCUGGGAAACUGCCUGAUGGAGGGGGAUAACUACUGGAAACGGUAGCUAAUACCGCAUACCAUCAGAUGUGCCCAGAUGGGAUUAGCUAGUAGGUGGGGUAAUGGCUCACCUAGGCGACGAUCCCUAGCUGGUCUGCGAGGAUGACCGGCCAAACGGUAACGGGGACACGGUCCAGAGUCCUACGGGAGGCAGCAGGGGGGAAUAUUGCACAAUGGGCGCAAGCCUGAUGCAGCCAUGCCGCGUGUGUGCGGAGGGCCUUCGGGUUGUAAAGCACUUUCAGCGAGGAGGCGUUAGUCGCAGAAGAAGCACCGGCUAACUCCGUGCCAGCAGCCGCGGUAAUUC